UUUUAUUCACUUCACAAAUCACACACAAAGAGCCACAAAUGUACUCGGCACUUCAACCCUGAAAUCAAACAAUUCCAUCCAAUUCCAAUUUCUAAACCCUAUUCUCCGCUGUUGGCACUCACGCUGAGCCACCAUCGGGUCCUCGAUGUUGAGCCACCGGCCACUGUAGCACUACAUAACCACUGCAUUGCUGGUAACUGAUUCCACUCGUGAUGGCGUGAAGUAAGCGGUGAGCCUCGUGCCUUUCUUCAUUUUUUUUUUAAAUUUUUUGGUUUUUGUUCUUCUAGUUCGUUUAUUGAUUUAUUAUUAUGAAAUUAUGAGUUAUCAAUUAAAUUAAUCAGUUAUAAAUUAUGAAUUUAUGAGUUUAUGUUUUAUGAGAAUUUACUGUGAGUUUAUCUAUGAGUUGUGAGUUGUGAGCCUCUCAUUAGUAUUUGAGAAUAUGUGAUAUCAUUUAUGUGGACUAUGGAAUCUGUGAAAAUUGAGGAUUUUGUGAAAAUCGGGGAUUUUGGAAAUGGAAACUUUUAGUAUCCAUGGAUGAGGAAAUCCCCAAUAGUCAUUGAACUUUGCAGAAAAUUCCCUAGGAGGUCACCGAACUUCAAUACGUCUUUGAAUGGUCACUGAACUUUUUCGAAAUCUCCCAAAAAGUCACCGAAUUUUAAAAUGUUCCCGAAUGGUUACUGAACUUUAUAAAAAACCCUGGGAGGUCACUAAACUAGCUAUGUUUGGGGUCCCAAUUUGCAACGUUGAAUGAUCUCUCUAGGGGAUUUCGACAAAGUUCAGUGACCAUUUAGGGACGUUUUAAAGUUCAUUAACCUCUUGGGGGACUUCGGUAAAGUUCAGUAACUAUUUAGGGACGUAUUGAAAUUCGAUGACCUCCUAGAAAUUUUCUACAAAGUUUAGUGACCAUUGGGGGGAUUUCCUCAUCCAUGGACUUAUGGAAUCUUUUAGAAUUUGUCAAAAUUGGUGAUUUUUGAAAUGAAAACUUGAUAGUUAAUAUGAGAUUUACGUUUUAGUGCACUUAUAUAUUAAUUGAAAUUUUUUAAUAUUAUCCAAUCCAAUACUCCCUCCGUCCCAAUUAUAUAGGUUGAGUUUCUUUUUUCUCUUGUACCAAAUAUAUAAGCAUGUUUCCUAAUUUAGAAUAUUUUGUUUUGUUUCUUUAUCAAUAUACCCUUAUUCAAUUUUCACCACUUAAUAUGUCAACUUCUUGAAAAUUUUCAAAUACAGACAUUCCCACUUCUUGAAAACAUGAAACAACUCUCAUUUCUUCUUAUUCAAAUUCUUUUACUAAUUCCAACAAUAGUUUAUUACUACAUACUGAAAAUUAAAUAGGGGUAAAUUAGGGAAGAUUUUGGCAAAAAUUAAUUUUUCAAUGACAUUAAAAAAGAUUUCUUAAUUCGUGUGAAAAACGAACCAAACCUAUAUAAUUGAGUCGGAGGGAGUAUUAAUAAACAAUCUUGCUAAUGCGUUGGUCAAAAGUCACUGACUGUCCUAAAUGGCUCCAAUUCGUGAAUUCAUACUAGGUGUACGUGUAGCAUGACCCAGUCACUUUAGGAUGAUAGGUCAAUUUUGAAAAGUUCGCCGAUUUUAUUAUUUUUAUUAUUAAAAUAUAGGUUCGGAAUGUACCGAUUUUGGUCCGAUCUGCCUCUCUGCCAGUGGAACAAAUUUUGUCCACUUCUCAAAAUCGUGGAGCGACAAAAUAUUUUCAAUUAGUAAAUUUUUAUCGACAUUUAAAUAAUUUUUUAGAAUAUUAAAUGAUUUUUCUGUUGAAAAAUGUUUAAUACAGUUUUUAGUUUGGUUGCUAAUUCUACGAAAGAAUUGUCUAACAAUCUAUUUAAAAUAUAUAUAUUUUAUAUAAUUUUCAACCGAAUCAUCCCAUCGUAAAUCUGUUGGACAAUUGUUUAAUUUAUUAUUUAUUUAUUAUGCCAACGGAUUAGCAACAAAAGUUUAACAAUGGGAGACUUCCGUUGUUAAUCUAUUCGGUAAAUUAAUAUCUAUUUUUAAAAAUGAUAAAAUAAUUUCCCGUUGGAAAUUUGUAGCAAAUACAUCGUUUUUACCAAUGGAAUAAGUUGAUUGGUAAGAUUGCAUUGCUAAAUGCUAAGGCCUCACAUUCUAAAUAAUUAUCAGUGUUUAGCAUAGCAUUCCUCGAUCUGUGUAUAUAUUUAUGUGCGUACGAUAAUAAUUUUAUAGGUAUCAUUGUCGAGCUUUUUUUAUAGACCAAUUCAUUUAUUAUGGCUUGAAUUCUCAUAUUUGAGAAUGGUGGAUUCCUUGUUGAGCAUUUAUUUAUUCUAUUAUAAACGAAUUCCGUAUGUAUAGCAAAUUAAUUUAGCAUCAAUGGUUGACAACGUCAAAAUUAUUUUAUAAUAAUAGAGUAGUGAUAAAUAAAUAUUUCAUAUCGAAGGACAACACCCCCCUUUCAUAUAGAGUUUCAUAUCAUGCGUCCAAUGGAUGGAAGAGAAUAAGCAACCCGCCAAAUAUUACGUGGUGAGUGAUACAAGGGUUGCAGCUGUGUUGGUUUCAAGUUUAGAAUGAUAGGUCACUGUAUUGCAACAUAUGAGUUUCAUAUUGUACGUACUUUCAAUUGAAUAUAUUAUUUAAUGUCAUCCUAUUAUUAUAUAA
RNAcentral lists this long non-coding RNA (2616 nucleotides) under Olea europaea (common olive). RNAcentral's name for it is "long non-coding RNA (OEUR_LNC002244)". The record is from RNAcentral. Lineage: Eukaryota; Viridiplantae; Streptophyta; Magnoliopsida; Lamiales; Oleaceae.